UAAGAUGAUGUUUUAGUUGUAGCAUGUA
This 28-nucleotide non-coding RNA is filed under the name Mus musculus (house mouse). Lineage: Eukaryota; Metazoa; Chordata; Mammalia; Rodentia; Muridae. The record is from RNAcentral.